This 714-nucleotide ribosomal RNA is filed under the name Nocardia sp. Sp080513KE-16. Its description in RNAcentral is "bacterial SSU rRNA". It matches the Rfam family "Bacterial small subunit ribosomal RNA", at positions 12 to 743 of the family's 1533-position model. Lineage: Bacteria; Bacillati; Actinomycetota; Actinomycetes; Mycobacteriales; Nocardiaceae. The record is from RNAcentral.
UUUGAUCCUGGCUCAGGACGAACGCUGGCGGCGUGCUUAACACAUGCAAGUCGAGCGGUAAGGCCCUUCGGGGUACACGAGCGGCGAACGGGUGAGUAACACGUGGGUGAUCUGCCUCGUACUCUGGGAUAAGCCUGGGAAACUGGGUCUAAUACCGGAUAUGACCACGAAUCGCAUGGUUUGUGGUGGAAAGAUUUAUCGGUGCGAGAUGGGCCCGCGGCCUAUCAGCUUGUUGGUGGGGUAAUGGCCUACCAAGGCGACGACGGGUAGCCGGCCUGAGAGGGCGACCGGCCACACUGGGACUGAGACACGGCCCAGACUCCUACGGGAGGCAGCAGUGGGGAAUAUUGCACAAUGGGCGGAAGCCUGAUGCAGCGACGCCGCGUGAGGGAUGACGGCCUUCGGGUUGUAAACCUCUUUCGACAGGGACGAAGCGCAAGUGACGGUACCUGUAGAAGAAGCACCGGCCAACUACGUGCCAGCAGCCGCGGUAAUACGUAGGGUGCGAGCGUUGUCCGGAAUUACUGGGCGUAAAGAGCUUGUAGGCGGUUCGUCGCGUCGAUCGUGAAAACUUGCAGCUCAACUGCGAGCUUGCGGUCGAUACGGGCGGACUAGAGUACUGCAGGGGAGACUGGAAUUCCUGGUGUAGCGGUGAAAUGCGCAGAUAUCAGGAGGAACACCGGUGGCGAAGGCGGGUCUCUGGGCAGUAACUGA